Xenopus tropicalis (tropical clawed frog) is the source of this 504-nucleotide long non-coding RNA. RefSeq lists it as uncharacterized. NCBI's taxonomy places the organism in Eukaryota, Metazoa, Chordata, Amphibia, Anura, Pipidae. The transcript has 2 exons. The record is from RefSeq and is a predicted model, not a curated record.
CCCUAGCUGGUUCCUGAAGACUACAGGGAGCAAUGUUUAGAGUUUUUGAUUGCAUUAAAUUGCUAAUAUUUCUUACAACGUGAUUGAAAACUGCAGCAAACUAAUAAAACUGUAGGGCCCCAAUUAUUUAUUCAUGAACAAAAGUUGGUUCGUUCAGUGCUUGCAGGAACUUGAGUGGCAGAGCAUAAGCGGAAACACUGUAUAUCUCGUGAGGAUUACAUACAAAGAAAAUGACAUAAUGAUGUGGAGAGGGCCUGCUAAUAAUAACCUAAAAUCUGUUGGGAGUGGGAAAAUGCUUGAAACAUGACACAUGAAGAAAGAGUUGAUAUGGUUUGCCCAUAAAAGAAGACCUUGCAAAUUGGAAUAGAACUGUGGCUGGAUCAAUCCCAAUGUAAAGAUGGCCACACAUGGAGAAAGUUGGUCAUUUUUCAGCUGAACUGGCUGACUAUUGCAUUUUGUGUCAUACUCUUGACAAACCAUUUGGAAUAAACAUCAGGUCUCAGU